Lycium barbarum (goji berry) is the source of this 899-nucleotide long non-coding RNA. RefSeq lists it as uncharacterized. Lineage: Eukaryota; Viridiplantae; Streptophyta; Magnoliopsida; Solanales; Solanaceae. The record is from RefSeq and is a predicted model, not a curated record. The transcript is spliced from 3 exons.
GGAUUUGAAGUCAGGACUUUUGACCUUUGAUUUUAUUUUGAGACAUAAGUUGUGUAUGAAAUUGUUAGCUUGAACACUUAGGAAAAAUUGGGACCAUAAUUCAUAAAUUUGGAAAUUAAAACUCUUGCAUAAAAAAAAAAAAAAAAAAAGGAAGAUGUGUGGAUUGAAGUGGUCCCCACACAUUGUUGUGGCCAAUUUUAAUUGGUCCAACACAUGUGUGGGCCCAAAGACAAUAAGAGAUAUUUUAAGGGGACUUAAAAGAUGACCACUUAGUCAUCUUUCUCUCAUUUCACAUUCCCACACUUAGAAAAUAAAGCAAGAAGUUGAGGAACCAAAACCAUGGCUCACGGCCAAGACCAUGGAAAACCAAAUCCAAAUCAAGCCCCUCUAAAAAUAUUUCUUGGGUACAAAUCAACUAAUUAGAGGUCCCUAAGUAACUUGGAAGCAUUGUUGGAGUGAUCAAGUCUUUCAUUUAAGAGAUUUGCAAACCCUAGCCUAUUGGUGGAUUGAAGAAGAAAGACCUUGGGGAGCCCGAGGCGUGGAUUGGAAAUUUACUUUAGAUUGGCUAUUUUGGAAGUGCGUACGAGGUACAGACGCACAGCCUGGUGAUCCACCUGUUUAGGACACCCUUUCUGCUAUGCGGAGUGCUCCUCUCUUUCCGGAGCUUAUACUUUUGGUAUAUAUAUUUAUUAGUGCAUUUGUAUAUAUUCGUUCAUGGGUACGGCGGGGCCCUGUCCCGUCAUAUGAUUCUGUCGGUCUGUUUAGAGGUCUGUGGACAUGUUUGUGGGUUAGGGUCUUUCUGUAUGGAUGUAUGUACAUGUCGUUUGGGCGAUCCCAUACGCCGAGGCGGCCGGUCCGCAUAUGUUGUUUGGGCGAUCCUAUACGCCGAGGCGGCCGGU